GACGAACGCUGGCGGCGUGCUCAACACAUGCAAGUCGAACGGAAAGGCCCUGCUUUUGUGGGGUGCUCGAGCGGCGAACGGGUGAGUAACACGUGAGUAACCUGCCCUUGACUUUGGGAUAACUUCAGGAAACUGGGGCUAAUACCGGAUAGGAGCUCCUGCUGCAUGGUGGGGGUUGGAAAGUUUCGGCGGUUGGGGAUGGACUCGCGGCUUAUCAGCUUGUUGGUGGGGUAGUGGCUUACCAAGGCUUUGACGGGUAGCCGGCCUGAGAGGGUGACCGGCCACAUUGGGACUGAGAUACGGCCCAGACUCCUACGGGAGGCAGCAGUGGGGAAUAUUGCACAAUGGGCGGAAGCCUGAUGCAGCAACGCCGCGUGCGGGAUGACGGCCUUCGGGUUGUAAACCGCUUUCGCCUGUGACGAAGCGUGAGUGACGGUAAUGGGUAAAGAAGCACCGGCUAACUACGUG
RNAcentral lists this ribosomal RNA (468 nucleotides) under uncultured bacterium. Its description in RNAcentral is "partial 16S ribosomal RNA". It matches the Rfam family "Bacterial small subunit ribosomal RNA", at positions 28 to 507 of the family's 1533-position model. The record is from RNAcentral.